GAAACGGUAGCUAAUACCGCAUAACGUCGCAAGACCAAAGAGGGGGACCUUCGGGCCUCUUGCCAUCGGAUGUGCCCAGAUGGGAUUAGCUAGUAGGUGGGGUAAAGGCUCACCUAGGCGACGAUCCCUAGCUGGUCUGAGAGGAUGACCAGCCACACUGGAACUGAGACACGGUCCAGACUCCUACGGGAGGCAGCAGUGGGGAAUAUUGCACAAUGGGCGCAAGCCUGAUGCAGCCAUGCCGCGUGUAUGAAGAAGGCCUUCGGGUUGUAAAGUACUUUCAGCGGGGAGGAAGGGAGUAAAGUUAAUACCUUUGCUCAUUGACGUUACCCGCAGAAGAAGCACCGGCUAACUCCGUGCCAGCAGCCGCGGUAAUACGGAGGGUGCAAGCGUUAAUCGGAAUUACUGGGCGUAAAGCGCACGCAGGCGGUUUGUUAAGUCAGAUGUGAAAUCCCCGGGCUCAACCUGGGAACUGCAUCUGAUACUGGCAAGCUUGAGUCUCGUAGAGGGGGGUAGAAUUCCAGGUGUAGCGGUGAAAUGCGUAGAGAUCUGGAGGAAUACCGGUGGCGAAGGCGGCCCCC
RNAcentral lists this ribosomal RNA (581 nucleotides) under Escherichia coli. Its description in RNAcentral is "bacterial SSU rRNA". It matches the Rfam family "Bacterial small subunit ribosomal RNA", at positions 153 to 729 of the family's 1533-position model. Lineage: Bacteria; Pseudomonadati; Pseudomonadota; Gammaproteobacteria; Enterobacterales; Enterobacteriaceae. The record is from RNAcentral.